RNAcentral lists this ribosomal RNA (595 nucleotides) under Pulchrana baramica (masked rough-sided frog). Its description in RNAcentral is "partial 16S ribosomal RNA". The stretch from base 340 to 587 matches the Rfam family "Archaeal large subunit ribosomal RNA", at positions 1787 to 2143 of the family's 2987-position model. Lineage: Eukaryota; Metazoa; Chordata; Amphibia; Anura; Ranidae. The record is from RNAcentral.
UUGUUCGUAACAGGACACAACCUCCUAUACAGGGUAAACAAAGGUGACUUAGACAAAGUAGGCCCAGAAGCAGCCACCUACUAAAAAGCGUCACAGCUUUAUCUUACCCACCCGCAAUUACGCAACCCCCCAUCAACCCUUACCCCCUACUGAACCACUUUAUACCUUAUAAAAGCUAUUAUGCUAGAACUAGUAACAAGAAACCCCUCUCCUAAAUGUGAACAUAAACCAAAACGGACCCCCCAUUGGCUAUCAACGUACAUGUACUCCCUAUAACAACCACACACUAGAAAACCCUAUAGCACAAAACGUUAACCUCACACCAGAACAUUCAAGGAAAGAUUAAAAGAAAGAGAAGGAACUCGGCAAACCCUAGCCCCGCCUGUUUACCAAAAACAUCGCCUCUUGACAUACAUAAGAGGUCUAGCCUGCCCAGUGACAAAGUUUAACGGCCGCGGUACCCUGACCGUGCAAAGGUAGCAUAAUCACUUGUUCUUUAAAUGAGGACUCGUAUCAACGGCAUCACGAGGGCUUUACUGUCUCCUCUCUCCAAUCAGUGAAACUGAUCCCCCCGUGAAGAAGCGGGGAUUUUAUU